Molecule: non-coding RNA, 230 nt
Organism: Cinara cedri
Lineage: Eukaryota; Metazoa; Arthropoda; Insecta; Hemiptera; Aphididae
Source: the annotation of a GenBank genome assembly
CGUUUAUCGUAAAGGCGACGACGACGUUUGAUUGCUAGCCGUUGUAAUCUCGCGCGGGUAACGUUUCGGUAAUGCCGAGACCUACCGUUUUCAGAAUCGAGCCAAUUCCAAGAAUUCCCCGUCGUUCGGAUCACGGUAAAUCGGUUAAUUUAAUUUAGAAUUAUCAGCGUUUAUUGACGACGACGACGUAGCUGGAACUAACCGUCAUGACUCGACUUCUCCUCGCCCCA